Non-coding RNA from Triticum urartu, 135 nucleotides. Lineage: Eukaryota; Viridiplantae; Streptophyta; Magnoliopsida; Poales; Poaceae. The record is from Rfam.
CUGCUACUCCCUCUGUUCUAAAUUAGUUGACUUGGAUAUAUUUAGAUACGGAUAUAUCUAACACUAAAACAUGUCUAGAUAUAUCUGUAUUUAGACAAAUCUGAGUCAAUUAAUUUGGAAUGGAGGGAGUACCUC